RNAcentral lists this ribosomal RNA (455 nucleotides) under uncultured bacterium A10. Its description in RNAcentral is "bacterial SSU rRNA". It matches the Rfam family "Bacterial small subunit ribosomal RNA", at positions 8 to 457 of the family's 1533-position model. The record is from RNAcentral.
CAGAGUUUGAUCAUGGCUCAGGACGAACGCUGGCGGCGCGCCUAACACAUGCAAGUCGAACGAGAGAGAAGGAGCUUGCUUCUUCGAUCGAGUGGCGAACGGGUGAGUAACGCGUGAGGAACCUGCCUCAAAGAGGGGGACAACAGUUGGAAACGACUGCUAAUACCGCAUAAGCCCACGGGUCGGCAUCGACCAGAGGGAAAAGGAGCAAUCCGCUUUGAGAUGGCCUCGCGUCCGAUUAGCUAGUUGGUGAGGUAAUGGCCCACCAAGGCGACGAUCGGUAGCCGGACUGAGAGGUUGAACGGCCCACAUUGGGACUGAGACACGGCCCAGACUCCUACGGGAGGCAGCAGUGGGGAAUAUUGCACAAUGGGGGAAACCCUGAUGCAGCGACGCNGCGUGGAGGAAGAAGGUCUUCGGAUUGAAACUCCUGUAGUGAGGAAGAAAAAGGCGGA